GAAAAGGUCCCCGAAUAGCUUUUUGUCUUUGCCAAGGACAACUCGAAAUCAGCACAACCAUGUCGUAUGUAAUGCACAGACAGGAACAAACUCAGACUGUCCUCCUCGUCAAGUUUAAAGGGAAGCAAGGUCUUGUUUACCGACAGGAACGGCUGGCGGGGCAAGGAAUAUGAUGAGUCUGGGGACCCAUCUUCACAGAGCCAACUGAAGGAUCAAGGCUUACCUGUCUGGGAAGCUGGGGGUAACUAAAUCAUUGCCAUAGUUUCGCUCACCUGCUCACCGAAUGUUACGUAUCCAAGUCAAAACAUAACCAGAAAUCAAGGGAAAAGGGAGAUCAGCUGGUCAGAGAGAACAUCAGAGACGACAUCCCUACUGCAUUUACAUCAGGUCAUAUAAUAAUUUUCUGAUAACCCACACAGCUUCAUUCUUCCAUGAAAUAUGCUGUUCAAAUCAAAGUAAAAACUUAGUGUCUAUGUGCAUUUGCAGUACAGAAAAGGUAGUUUAUGCAAGGUAUUAAUUCAGUAUUAUGACAGAAUUACUGCAAUUUGUGUGAAUGUUGUUUUGAUAAGCACAGAAGACACGCAUCCAAAGGAGACUACCACAGCAGCAUUUCAUGAGCUAGCAAAGUGACAUAAAAUAAACAUGCAAAAUGGUCUCGUGUCAUCUUAGGAGCCAGUUAAUGUACUGUCAUUAACAACACCAGAAAAAAAAAAAAAAAAAAAAAAGGUGUGCUUAAUACCUCGAUGCCUCACUUUAAUUACCUUUGAAAUUUGAUGGGGUUGUAUAAUUUAAAAUUCAUUCAGGUGCCAUUUAGACUGGAGGGAAAAAAACAGUUUUUAUUUAUAAUUAGAAAUUUAUGAGCUGGCUAUAAAUCCGCCACUUAAACUAAAGCAUUUAUGGAAACGCUUUUCCAACUGGUUUGCUCCCAAACCAGUUGGAACUGAUGGUCACCUCUCCAUCACCUGCCAGAGGUGGCUAGCUCUUUGCCUUAAAAUCCCUGCUGGCAGCAAGCACCAGGACAGUCUGAGAGGGGGAAGAUUUCCACGCUAUAAUCAAGCACACUGAAACCUGGAAGUGGCAAACCCUUAAAGCAGUAAGGUAGCAUAAGAAAGACUGGCAGGAAGAUGCAGUGGAAAUGAUGCAGAAAACAAGAAAAUCAUGUUGUAAGAGAAAUAAUAAUUGAAGGAGGCAAGAGGCACGGCGCAACAACCUGGCAGGUCUGGAUCUGUGUUGGCAGGAAGGUGUCAGAAGGCAAAACUGAUGGAGAGAUGUUGCAAGAGUAGGGGCAGUGAAGUGGUUAUUGCUGAUCAGCCCAUGUAAACAGUUUCCUUCCAGCACGUAGCUAAAUUACAAAUGUUCCUGGGGUUAUAAAGAAACAAAACCCAAACUCUGCAAGUUCCCAAAUAAUUCAAAACAAUAAGGAAAACAAAAAUGA
Molecule: long non-coding RNA, 1435 nt
Organism: Oxyura jamaicensis (ruddy duck)
Lineage: Eukaryota; Metazoa; Chordata; Aves; Anseriformes; Anatidae
Exons: 2
Source: RefSeq, a predicted model, not a curated record